GCUUUAAAUUGAAGGGUUUCUGCAUGACAGUGUCAGGACACACCAGGUUUAGUCUACUUUUCUGCUAGAGAAUUUUCUUUUUUCCAGUUUGGGUUGGAUUUGUUUCUAGGAGUCUCUUGUCCUAUUUUCUGCUGAAGUACAAAGGUAAAUAAAUGGUAUUUAGGUGAUUAGAAUCACUCUGUGCCCAUCCAGGCAUCUCACAAGGCCAUUAAGGAUGGAAAAGAGCUGAUUUGGGUUCUGGGGAGGUCCCUGUGCUCCAACCACUGAGGCUUUGAUGGCUUUGUUUGGUGUCAGUGCUCAGAAGAGUUUGCUCACGUUCCUUGCCCAAAGGCCAUGGGACGGAUCCACCUCCACUGUCCUGGGCCAAGUUUGAUUAUUAGGGAAAACUCCUGGUACCCUAUGGAUCCAGGAAAAUAUGGAAUUUGGCCUCCACCCCCCAUGCCCCAUCAGACCCAGCACAGACAGCUGUCAGUAACACCAUUUUCUUUCAUGCUUGAGAACUUUGACACCAGGAAUUUUUAGGGUGUAGUCACUGAGAGCAUUAAAAAUGCUGCACAAACCUCACACCAUUUACAAAAGCUCUUGGAGCACAAAGCCUCUAUGGCAAAUCAAAGAAAAACAUUGAGGCCAGAGAUCUGCAACUUUGUGGCAAUUACCAAACAUAAUUAUAUUCCUAUAAUGAAGAGACUAAAAACCUCACCAAAAUUCUAAUACAAUCAUGCAGUCAGAGAUACUCAUUACUCAUAGGACUCUGGAGUGAAUUUAACACUUGCAGUAACAUUUCUUGAAUGCUUAUGAACAAAAAUGUGCAAAUUUCUGUCCCCAGAUAAUGACAGAAUUAAAUUUGUCUGAUUCAGUGACUUUUUUGUUGUGCAACAAACCCAGAAGUUCAGGUGGAAAUCAGACCCUUCUGAGAUUUAAAAAGAGAUUCUGAUUCAACCCAGUGCUGGAGAAUCUGUUUGCAUUGAGGAAGUAGGAGGUGGCUUUUGGUGAUAUCUUAAACUCAGCUUCCAGCAAGGCUGAUGGGUUUAACCCUGGGAGUGACAGUCUGCCUGUGCCCAGCAACUGCUGUGCUCUGAACCCUGAACUGGGAGCUCGGCCUCAGGAAUCACCUGCAAGGCAAAAACUCUUUCCUGGUGGAUCAGAGAGUGGGAAGAGUCAGACUUGGGGGUUUAUUCUCUGUUUGCCUUCACUUGCUGCAAUAAAGCGUAGCAAUAUUGUGGCUUUCCGCAAUACAAGAAACUGAUGAAAGAGGCCCUUUAUUAAACCCAUCCUUAUAUUUGGAUAUUGCCAUGGAAAAUGAAGAGAAGCAGCUCCUGAACUACCUCCUGCCAUCUCCCAGCCCUCCAAGCAGUUCAGUGCUUUGUCCCAAUAAAAGACCAAUUUGUCUCUCCACGCUGCUCUGGGCCAAGGCCAAGUGACCCUGGCUGAGGGCAGGAGAAAUUAGGAAGGCCUGAGAGGCUGAAAUCCCAAGCUUCAGAGGAAAACAAAGCCAAGGGGUGCAGGAAACAAUGCCAGAGUUAAGGUGUUGGAUUGACCUUUCCUAUUUCUCCUUUGUGCUGGCAGAUGGUGUAGGAAGCCACUUCACCCAAAGGAUCACCAGGAGAUUCAGAAAUGUGUUACGCAGGUGCUUUUCAGUUCCCUUUUGUUCUGAGGUGGAGGUGUUUGAGGGCAAACAGGGAAAAAUAGGAAAGAACCAAGAUAAAAACAGUGAGUCUCUACCUGACCCUCGAGAUCAUCCAGAUGGGGCACAGACAGACCUCCAGAAAUUUCAAUUCUCCCACAUAAAUCCCACUGUGUCUGGCAGAACAAACCCCUGAUACACACCAGAUGUGGACACAGACCAGAUGUUGGUACACACCAGACGUUUUCAGUCCAGCACAUUCAAACACCCAUACCCCAAUCCCGGUUUUUUUGUACCCACCCUUAGCCCCAUGGUACCAAAGCUCUGGCCUCACCAUAAUCCUCCCCUCCCUGAAACCUUUGGAAAGUUUUGCCCUGAAUGAUUCCUCAGCCAUAAUUCCCAGCCAUGGGAAAGAACAGCUGAUAAAGUGCCCUUUUUGUAGCACUCAGGCUGUCCUGAUGGUGCUGAACUUUCAGGCUGUCUCUGGGGUGGAAUCUUGCCCUGGUCAUGAUUUUGUGGUGGCCAGGAGUGAGGCAGACUCUGAGCAGGGCAGUCUGUCUGGCUCCCCUGCUCUCUCCCUGGAAGCUUUUCUCCCAGGAAUGCUCACUGCCACAGUACCUGGCUCCAACAUUUUGCUCUUCUCCUGCACCUGUGACCAGGGAACAGCUCACAGGUUGUGGCCUGGGAGCUCCAUAAGGAGAAGGACUCACACUCAAUGACUGUCCUCAUCCCUCUGGUAACCCAGACCUUUUCCUGUUUUUUUAAUCUAUAUUUCUUAAAUUAUGACUUAUAGGCAGACUUAUGGUAUGUAUGGGCUUAUUUUCAGUGUCACCAAAAGUGGUUGGUGCUCAGCAGAUUAACUGCCCAAAGAACAGCAAGAGGUUGAGAACCCAACUUCCCUGCUCCUGCCCUUCAGCUUCUGCUGUUCUCAUAUGUGAUUUAAUUUAAUUUAAUUUAAUUUAGUUUUAAUCUCUGCACAGCUCUCCUGGAGCACUCAGUACCAUGAAUCAGCUGUGUGCUGAACAUGGCUACCCCAAACCUACAGCUCAGAACUCUGCACCAAUAGGAAACCUAAACUGUACGGUGUUAUUUGGGGUGUUACUGGAAUUUCUCCCCAUUUCCACAUGCUUGGCAGCCAGACCCCUUCCCAUGUCUCUGGGGGCAAAGUCACCUUUGUGGCACUUGGGUGAGGCCCCAGUAUCUUCCUGGGAACACUGAAUUCCAUGUGCCAGCACUGAAUUCCAUGUGCCAGCAAUACUGGCUCUUCAGGGCCUUUCUCACAUCACACUCAGAAACUCUUUUUGGCUGCUCUUAAUAGGACUUUAUCUCUUUUGUUGCACUCUUUUACUAAAGCUUCAUUAGAAACCAUCUCCAGUUGAUUUUUUCUGAUGGGAAAUGCAGGGUCUAUCACAGAUAAAAAUCCUGCUGCAAUUGGAAUUGCACAUGUAAUAGAUUAUAAUUGAAUUUUUAUUAAAACACUUUGCUUGCACUCUUAAUUGCUUUGUACAAAACAUGUGGCUGUAUUUUUCUCUCCAAGAACUCCAGGCCUUGCUUCCCAAGCAGUUUAUUGUCACCCUUCCUCUAGGAAAAGUUAAAAUGUAAAAUUUCACAACUCUCUUAAUUAACUUUCCUGCACUCUGUAGUUAAAAGGUAGUUAAACCCAUAAGCAUUCAUUCAACUUUAAUGAGGAUGGGGAAGUAAUUGCAUAUGCAUUUCUUUAUAAUUAUCACUUAAUUGCAUUACCAGUAGAUUUAUCUCUUGCUUAUUUAGCCAAGCUUAGUAAAGAAUGUAUAAGGCUGAGAUGAUGGUUGUUUGGGGCUGUUCCAAGAGCAACACAAUCAGGAGCAGAGAGCUUUGCACACCAGUCCAUACAGCAGGCAGCUGGGACAGAAUUUUUUUCCAGAUUUAGCAAAGACUUCUCCUUAAGACCAGCUUCAAAUGCUCGAUCAGCUGUGGGGGUGGUAAAGCUCUUCAAAGACCCAGCAGGAAGCCAAGAUAUCCAUCUUUCCAUUUCCUGGUUGGCUUUGAAGAGCUCAGCUCUUAAAAAGGAUCUUUGAUGCUUAAUUGUCCCUUCUGACAUAAUUCAGGCAUCAAAGAAAAUAAGUUUUGCUGGUCCAAGGAAAGCCCUUUGUGCUGAAGUAGCAGUGAUGUGUUGGAAACUUCAUCCUCUCCCUUUGUUCUCCAGUGUCCCCCAUGGGCCCAUCCUGCUGUGGAACAUGGGGAUGUUCCCUUAGGUCUGGGAAGAUGUCAUGGUUUGACACUGGCACAAUGCCAGCGUCCCUGUGAAAAUGCAACCUCUCAACUGAAUGCUGUGAAAUGCGAUCGAGAACAGAGCAAAGCAGGCCCAAGCUUAAUAACAAGGGGAAAAAACUGUAUUAAGCUACUACUACU
Taeniopygia guttata (zebra finch) is the source of this 4015-nucleotide long non-coding RNA. NCBI's taxonomy places the organism in Eukaryota, Metazoa, Chordata, Aves, Passeriformes, Estrildidae. The record is from Ensembl.